GCAGAAUACUGGUUAAGCUAAUCCUAUUUCAUGUCUGUCUUUCAUAGUUGAUACUUGAGAAAACGCGUCACCUGGAAUAUGGAAGGAUGUUAGUCGUCAAAGAUGUUGACGACUAACAUCAUGAUUAUGCUCUUGACGCGAAGUCCCGAAUAGGGGACCAUCACUGAGCAAACUUGCACAAACAGUGAACUAGAAUCUUAUGUCCCUAUUGCAAUUGUAGCAACUCUUGAACACUAAGGAUCCGUUUGGUUUGAUGUGUUAUUAGAUGAAAUAUUUAUGGUAUAAAAUUUGGUAUUUGCUUUAUCUAGUGACUCCUUUGUAAUUUCAGUCUUGC
This 334-nucleotide unclassified non-coding RNA is filed under the name Hevea brasiliensis (rubber tree). The record is from RNAcentral. Lineage: Eukaryota; Viridiplantae; Streptophyta; Magnoliopsida; Malpighiales; Euphorbiaceae.